AAUAGUUAGUAACUCCGAAUUUGGCAGUCUAAUGGAAACUACGGCAGCCAAAUCGAUGGGUUUACCGGGAAAUUGGUAAGCCUCCCGUUGCGGAAAGGAGUCAGUGCUAUCUUUU
Molecule: non-coding RNA, 115 nt
Filed under: Sporomusa malonica
Lineage: Bacteria; Bacillati; Bacillota; Negativicutes; Selenomonadales; Sporomusaceae
Description: MoCo sequence
Rfam family: Molybdenum/Tungsten riboswitch aptamer (Moco RNA motif)
Source: Rfam by way of RNAcentral